Molecule: long non-coding RNA, 1109 nt
Filed under: Gallus gallus (chicken)
Lineage: Eukaryota; Metazoa; Chordata; Aves; Galliformes; Phasianidae
Description: lncRNA (ENSGALG00010000397.1)
Source: RNAcentral
CUCACUUUGGGGUCGUCCCCCCCCCCCCCUCCUCCCUCCACCUCCUCAUGAAGCGCAGUUUGGGGGGUCCCCCCCCGACCCCCCCCCCUCCUCCCUCCUCCUCCCCCCCCCCUCCAGAGGGUGGGCGGGGAUGGGGGGGCGGGGGGGGGGCGGCGGCGUCGUCCUCAUCGCUGAGGUCGGUGACCUCCACUUCCUCCGAGUCCACUUCCGGUGGGGUGGGGGGAGGGGUGGACCCCCCCGGGCCAGCCGAGGGGUGCACGUGACCGGAAGCGACCCCGUGGCCGGAAGGAAGCCCCGGACCGGAAGUGACCCCUCGACCGGAAGCGACCCCGGGGCUGACGUUCCCGCGACCCGGAGCGACCCCGUCGCCUUCGCCCCCGCCGUGACCUGAGGUGACCCCUUGACCUGAGGUGACCCCGUGACCUGAGACGACCCCGUGAGCUUUGGUAACCUCUUGACCGGAAGUGACCCCGUGACCGGGCGUGACCCCAGCUGCCUCUCCUUGACCCGAAGUGACCCCGUGACCCGAAGUGACCCCGGGAGCCUCUCCUUGACCUGAGGUGACCCCAUGACCUGCAGUAACCCCGGGAGCCUCUCCUUGACCCGAAGUGACCCCAUGACCGGAAGUAACCCCACCAGCCUCAUUCUGACCUGAAGUGACCUCGCGACCCGCAGUAACCCCAUGACCGGAAGUAACCCCAGAAGCCUCACUUUCACCCGAAGUAACCCCGUGACCCGAGGUAACCGCGUGACCGGAAGUACCCCCGUGACCCGAAGUAACCCCACCUCCCUCUCCUUUCCCCCUCCCCCUCCUCCCGGGCGGGGGGGGCUGCAACUUAAAGGCGAAGGGGGGGGGAGGGGGGGUCGGGGGGGGGUCCCGAUGGGGGUCCCGAUGGGGGUGGGGGGGGGGGCGGGGGGGGGGAGGGGCCAAAAAGGGGCGGGGGCUGAGAUGGUACGCGCACACCCGGGCGGCCAAACAGCGCGCCAGGUCUUCCGCACUGAAGGAGAAGUGGGGGGACCCCCCCCCACCGCCGCCCCCCCCCCCCGAAGUGGGGAGACCCCCCCGAGCCGAAGUGGGGCGACCCCCCCCCGAAAUGCGGCGACCCCCC